CCUACGGGGGGCAGCAGUGGGGAAUAUUGCACAAUGGGGGAAACCCUGAUGCAGCAACGCCGCGUGGGUGAAGGAGCGCUUCGGCGCGUAAAGCACUGUCAGCGGGGAAGAAGAAAGACGGUACCCGACCAAGAAGCCCCGGCUAACUACGCGCCAGCAGCAGCGGCAAUACGGAGGGCGCGAGCGUUAUUCGGAAUUACGGGGUGGAAAGGGAGCGUAGUCGGGGGGGUAAGCCUGAAGUGGAAGCCCGGGGCACAACCGGGGAACGGCUUUGGGGACUGAUUAGCUGGAGUAUGGGAGGGGUGAGCAGAAUUCCAGGUGUAGCGGUGAAAGGCGUAGAGAUCAGGAGGAACACCGGUGGCGAAGGCGGCUCACUGGACCAUAACUGACGUUGAGGUGCGAAAGCGUGGGGAGCGAACAGGAUUAGAUACCCGGGUAGUC
This 441-nucleotide ribosomal RNA is filed under the name uncultured bacterium. RNAcentral describes it as "partial 16S ribosomal RNA". It matches the Rfam family "Bacterial small subunit ribosomal RNA", at positions 338 to 795 of the family's 1533-position model. The record is from RNAcentral.